UGGAUUACUUUUCAGUAUGAAGGAUUCGAUCCAAACCUUGAAAUGUCUUUUGACGUUAUAUUUGAAAAUGUGCAUGCAUGUGUAUUCAUGAAGGGCAGAGAAUGAUAAAUGUUCUCAUUUGAGUUAAAACCAAACACAGUGUAGGCAGCUGCUGUGAGCUUUGUUAUUACAAUUUUGGCCUGACAUAUGAGUUGGAAAAU
Pteropus vampyrus (large flying fox) is the source of this 200-nucleotide non-coding RNA. The record is from Rfam. Lineage: Eukaryota; Metazoa; Chordata; Mammalia; Chiroptera; Pteropodidae.